GGAGUAUGGACCGUGUCUCAGUUCCAUUGUGGGGGACCUUCCUCUCAGAACCCCUACCCAUCGUCGCCUCGGUGGGCCGUUACCCCGCCGACUAGCUAAUGGGACGCGAGCCAAUCCGUGACCACCACGGUUUUCUAAUCAGUCCUCAUGCGGGAACCGAUCAUAUGGGGGGUUAGGGCGAC
This 182-nucleotide ribosomal RNA is filed under the name uncultured Bacteroidales bacterium. RNAcentral describes it as "partial 16S ribosomal RNA". Lineage: Bacteria; Pseudomonadati; Bacteroidota; Bacteroidia; Bacteroidales. The record is from RNAcentral.